Molecule: ribosomal RNA, 246 nt
Filed under: uncultured bacterium
Lineage: Bacteria
Description: partial 16S ribosomal RNA
Rfam family: Bacterial small subunit ribosomal RNA
Source: RNAcentral
UACCGGAGGGAGCUAGCGUUUAUUCGGAAAGUUACUGGGCGUAAAGCGCACGUAGGGCGGCUUUGGUAAGUUAGAGGUGAAAGCCUGGAGCUCAACUCCAGAAUUGCCUUUAAGACUGCAUCGCUUGAAUCCAGGAGAGGUGAGUGGAAUUCCGAGUGUAGAGGUGAAAUUCGUAGAUAUUCGGAAGAACACCAGUGGCGAAGGCGGCUCACUGGACAGGUAUUGACGCUGAGGGUGCGAAAAGCG